AUUGAACGCUGGCGGCAGGCCUAACACAUGCAAGUCGAACGGCAGCGGGGGAUAGCUUGCUAUCCUGCCGGCGAGUGGCGGACGGGUGAGUAAUGCCUGGGGAGCUGCCCAAUCGAGGGGGAUACCAACUGGAAACGGUUGCUAAUACCGCAUACGCCCUGCGGGGGAAAGGUGGGGACCUUCGGGCCUACCGCGAUUGGAUGCACCCAGGUGGGAUUAGCUGGUUGGUGAGGUAACGGCUCACCAAGGCGACGAUCUCUAGCUGGUCUGAGAGGAUGACCAGCCACACCGGAACUGAGACACGGUCCAGACUCCUACGGGAGGCAGCAGUGGGGAAUAUUGCACAAUGGGGGAAACCCUGAUGCAGCCAUGCCGCGUGUGUGAAGAAGGCCUUCGGGUUGUAAAGCACUUUCAGUGGGGAGGAAGGGGUGAUGCCUAAUACGCAUCAUCAUUGACGUUACCCACAGAAGAAGCACCGGCUAACUCCGUG
RNAcentral lists this ribosomal RNA (490 nucleotides) under uncultured bacterium. RNAcentral describes it as "bacterial SSU rRNA". It matches the Rfam family "Bacterial small subunit ribosomal RNA", at positions 29 to 507 of the family's 1533-position model. The record is from RNAcentral.